UACGAAGGGGGCUAGCGUUGUUCGGAAUCACUGGGCGUAAAGGGCACGUAGGCGGAUCUUUAAGUCAGGGGUGAAAUCCCGAGGCUCAACCUCGGAACUGCCUUUGAUACUGGGGAUCUCGAGUCCGGGAGAGGUGAGUGGAACUGCGAGUGUAGAGGUGAAAUUCGUAGAUAUUCGCAAGAACACCAGUGGCGAAGGCGGCUCACUGGCCCGGAACUGACGCUGAGGUGCGAAAGCGUGGGGAGCAAACAGG
RNAcentral lists this ribosomal RNA (253 nucleotides) under uncultured bacterium. RNAcentral describes it as "partial 16S ribosomal RNA". It matches the Rfam family "Bacterial small subunit ribosomal RNA", at positions 524 to 776 of the family's 1533-position model. The record is from RNAcentral.